GACGAACGCUGGCGGCGUGCCUAAUACAUGCAAGUUGAGCGCUGAAGGUUGGUACUUGUACCAACUGGAUGAGCAGCGCACGGGUGAGUAACGCGUGGGGAAUCUGCCUUUGAGCGGGGGACAACAUUUGGAAACGAAUGCUAAUACCGCAUAAAAACUUUAAACACAAGUUUUAAGUUUGAAAGAUGCAAUUGCAUCACUCAAAGAUGAUCCCGCGUUGUAUUAGCUAGUUGGUGAGGUAAAGGCUCACCAAGGCGAUGAUACAUAGCCGACCUGAGAGGGUGAUCGGCCACAUUGGGACUGAGACACGGCCCAAACUCCUACGGGAGGCAGCAGUAGGGAAUCUUCGGCAAUGGACGAAAGUCUGACCGAGCAACGCCGCGUAAGUGAAGAAGGUUUUCGGAUCGUAAAACUCUGUUGGUAGAGAAGAACGUUGGUGAGAGUGGAAAGCUCAUCAAGUGACGGUAACUACCCAGAAAGGGACGGCUAACUACGUG
This 497-nucleotide ribosomal RNA is filed under the name uncultured bacterium. Its description in RNAcentral is "partial 16S ribosomal RNA". It matches the Rfam family "Bacterial small subunit ribosomal RNA", at positions 28 to 507 of the family's 1533-position model. The record is from RNAcentral.